GCUAACAUGAAAAAGACCUGACUUCCCUUUCUUCCUUUAAGUUGAAUCAAGUGAACUUUCAGGCAGGCACCAGGGUAAAGCCUGCCUGCCAAUUCUUUGUAAACAGUGAGGCUUCCUGCAGUGUUAUGGGCUGUCGGGGGAGAAGGCAUUGUGAACUAGCACCCAUUGUGACGGUCUACAAGGUGAGAAGUCGAUUAUCCCACCUAGGGUGCCAGGAGCAGGAGUGAAAGGUCAGACACAGGGCCAGGAAUAAUUGCCUGACACAGGGACAGUCCGCAGGGAAUACCAGGAGCCCCCUGGGCAAGAGGUCAGUGGGAAUGGGGGGUAGGGGCGAGGGAAGACCUACCAGAAAAUGAUUCUUGGAUGGGCGGGUAGAUGAAUGGUUGGAAUCCUGUAGCCUCAUGCCCCUGGCUGGGACUAGAGGAUCUGGUAGACUUGGAUAAUUGGUGCUGAGUCCCUACCCUGAUGCUAACAGCUUCUCCAGUCCCCAUCUUUGACUGUUGCUUCUCCCCUGGGGCCAGGAUGGCCCGUUCGGCCCCAUGGCAGUUCUUCUCCCAACGUCUGGACUGUAGCCACCUCUCCCCAUCCUGAGUUGGAGGGUUUCCCCAGGGCCGGCUGCAACCUCAGCCCACAUCACCCCACUGGGGCAGGUUGGCAGGGCCUGAGUAACACGAAGGAGUCCUCUGUGUGUCCUACCCCAGACCCCUGCUCUUCCCACCUUCUCCUCUUAUUCCUCCUUUUUCUGCCCCCCCGGGUGGUAAGUUAGGGCCCCAAAUUGAGGCCAUGUCUCCUGCCUUCCUUCCCCCAGAGCCUGGCCUGCCUUCUUGGUGGCCCCGUCUCCACCUCUGUGUGCGGAGCCCAGCCAGGGUGUUGAAGUGCCUUUGGCAGAGUCGAGAGUCUCAGACAAGAUGCCCUGCCUGAGCCCAGUGUUCCUGAGCCCCCCUGGUGGCAUGGGGGUGUCCAAAGAUCUCGGCCAGGGAGCUCGUUUGCUGGGCUGCAGGCUCAGCCUGGUCUCAGCAGUGGCCGGCCUUGGGAGAGCUGUUGGAAUCCAAUCAGCAGUCAGGAAGAUGGAGCUCUUUGGGCAGCUGGGAGGCCCCAGGCUGGAAUGCAGGAACCUGGGUUCAUGUCCCUGGCUUGGCCACAAACAGCCUUACCCGACCCCAUGCUGUGACUUGGAAGCCCCACGACCUCCUGCCAGCUUCAUGCCUCACUGCACCUGCCUCUGCUGCAUGGGACACCUAUGACCAUGCCCCUCGGCUUCCUUGACCCAACCAUCAUCACCCGUCCUCGGCCUCCCAUUAAAUGAUGGUGGUCCCCAGAGCUUGGGUCCUGACUCCCUUUUCACUCUUAGUGGCAACUCUUAGGCAGCACUUAGUGGGCUCGCAGCACAAUCUCUGUGGGAGGAGACAGAGAUGUCACACACAGGCUCUGAUACUCCCACCAUCUCCCCACACCCACCCAGCUGAGCACCAGUCUCUGUUCACCAGCUAAUUGCCAGGAGACCCAAAUCCCUCGUUUGAGCCCCACCCCUGUCUAGCCAACCAUCUGCUGGACUUCUCCACAGUGAUGCCUCACAGAUGCUUUGCAGUCAGCCAGUCCAAAACCAAGCUCAUCCCUGUCUUCUAGGUCUUUGUAAAAGGUACCACCAUCUCCCCAACUGCCCAAACCACAAACCUAAGUAGGAAUAAGCCUCUUCUGCAGAGACCACUCCCAUCUCGAGCUGGUCUGCCCCAG
RNAcentral lists this long non-coding RNA (1734 nucleotides) under Equus caballus (horse). RNAcentral's name for it is "lncRNA (ENSECAG00000045666.1)". Lineage: Eukaryota; Metazoa; Chordata; Mammalia; Perissodactyla; Equidae. The record is from RNAcentral.